AACUGAAUACAUAGGUUAACAGAGCAAACCGGGGGAACUGAAACAUCUAAGUACCCCGAGGAGAAGAAAUCAACCGAGAUUCCGGUAGUAGCGGCGAGCGAACCUGGAUUAGCCCUUAAGCACUCGGUGAAGUAGGUGAACAAGCUGGAAAGCUUGGCGAUACAGGGUGAUAGCCCCGUAACCGACGCUUCAUCGAGCGUGAAAUCGAGUAGGGCGGGACACGUGAUAUCCUGUCUGAAUAUGGGGGGACCAUCCUCCAAGGCUAAAUACUCCUGACUGACCGAUAGUGAACCAGUACCGUGAGGGAAAGGCGAAAAGAACCCCUGUGAGGGGAGUGAAAUAGAACCUGAAACCGUGUACGUACAAGCAGUAGGAGCACCUUCGUGGUGUGACUGCGUACCUUUUGUAUAAUGGGUCAGCGACUUAUAUUCAGUGGCAAGGUUAACCGUAUAGGGGAGCCGUAGCGAAAGCGAGUCUUAACUGGGCGCUCAGUCUCUGGAUAUAGACCCGAAACCGGGUGAUCUAGCCAUGGGCAGGUUGAAGGUUGAGUAACAUCAACUGGAGGACCGAACCGACUAAUGUUGAAAAAUUAGCGGAUGACUUGUGGCUAGGGGUGAAAGGCCAAUCAAACUCGGAGAUAGCUGGUUCUCCCCGAAAGCUAUUUAGGUAGCGCCUCGGACGAAUACUACUGGGGGUAGAGCACUGUUAAGGCUAGGGGGUCAUCCCGACUUACCAACCCUUUGCAAACUCCGAAUACCAGUAAGUACUAUCCGGGAGACACACGGCGGGUGCUAACGUCCGUCGUGGAGAGGGAAACAACCCAGACCGCCAGCUAAGGUCCCAAAGUAUUGCUAAGUGGGAAACGAUGUGGGAAGGCUCAGACAGCUAGGAUGUUGGCUUAGAAGCAGCCAUCAUUUAAAGAAAGCGUAAUAGCUCACUAGUCGAGUCGGCCUGCGCGGAAGAUGUAACGGGGCUAAGCAAUACACCGAAGCUGCGGCAAUAUCUUUUAGAUAUUGGGUAGGGGAGCGUUCUGUAAGCCGUUGAAGGUGAAUCGUAAGGUUUGCUGGAGGUAUCAGAAGUGCGAAUGCUGACAUGAGUAACGACAAAGGGGGUGAAAAACCUCCUCGCCGGAAGACCAAGGGUUCCUGUCCAACGUUAAUCGGGGCAGGGUGAGUCGACCCCUAAGGUGAGGCCGAAAGGCGUAAUCGAUGGGAAACGGGUUAAUAUUCCCGUACUUCUGACUAUUGCGAUGGGGGGACGGAGAAGGCUAGGUGGGCCAGGCGACGGUUGUCCUGGUUCAAGUGCGUAGGCUUGAGAGUUAGGUAAAUCCGGCUCUCUCUAAGGCUGAGACACGACGUCGAGCUGCUACGGCAGUGAAGUCAUUGAUGCCAUGCUUCCAGGAAAAGCCUCUAAGCUUCAGAUAGUCAGGAAUCGUACCCCAAACCGACACAGGUGGUCGGGUAGAGAAUACCAAGGCGCUUGAGAGAACUCGGGUGAAGGAACUAGGCAAAAUGGUACCGUAACUUCGGGAGAAGGUACGCUCUUGAUGGUGAAGUCCCUCGCGGAUGGAGCUGACGAGAGUCGCAGAUACCAGGUGGCUGCAACUGUUUAUUAAAAACACAGCACUGUGCAAAAUCGCAAGAUGACGUAUACGGUGUGACGCCUGCCCGGUGCCGGAAGGUUAAUUGAUGGGGUUAGCGCAAGCGAAGCUCUUGAUCGAAGCCCCGGUAAACGGCGGCCGUAACUAUAACGGUCCUAAGGUAGCGAAAUUCCUUGUCGGGUAAGUUCCGACCUGCACGAAUGGCGUAAUGAUGGCCACGCUGUCUCCACCCGAGACUCAGUGAAAUUGAAAUCGCUGUGAAGAUGCAGUGUACCCGCGGCUAGACGGAAAGACCCCGUGAACCUUUACUACAGCUUGGCACUGAACAUUGAACCUACAUGUGUAGGAUAGGUGGGAGGCUAUGAAGACGUGACGCCAGUUGCGUUGGAGCCGUCCUUGAAAUACCACCCUUGUAUGUUUGAUGUUCUAACUUAGACCCAUUAUCUGGGUUGAGGACAGUGCCUGGUGGGUAGUUUGACUGGGGCGGUCUCCUCCCAAAGAGUAACGGAGGAGCACGAAGGUGGGCUAAUCACGGUUGGACAUCGUGAGGUUAGUGCAAUGGCAUAAGCCCGCUUAACUGCGAGAAUGACGGUUCGAGCAGGUGCGAAAGCAGGUCAUAGUGAUCCGGUGGUUCUGUAUGGAAGGGCCAUCGCUCAACGGAUAAAAGGUACUCCGGGGAUAACAGGCUGAUACCGCCCAAGAGUUCAUAUCGACGGCGGUGUUUGGCACCUCGAUGUCGGCUCAUCACAUCCUGGGGCUGAAGUCGGUCCCAAGGGUAUGGCUGUUCGCCAUUUAAAGUGGUACGCGAGCUGGGUUUAGAACGUCGUGAGACAGUUCGGUCCCUAUCUGCCGUGGGCGUUGGAAGAUUGAAGGGGGCUGCUCCUAGUACGAGAGGACCGGAGUGGACGAACCUCUGGUGUUCGGGUUGUGUCGCCAGACGCAUUGCCCGGUAGCUAAGUUCGGAAUUGAUAAGCGCUGAAAGCAUCUAAGCGCGAAGCGAGCCCUGAGAUGAGUCUUCCC
RNAcentral lists this ribosomal RNA (2620 nucleotides) under Vibrio cholerae. Its description in RNAcentral is "partial 23S ribosomal RNA". It matches the Rfam family "Bacterial large subunit ribosomal RNA". The record is from RNAcentral. Lineage: Bacteria; Pseudomonadati; Pseudomonadota; Gammaproteobacteria; Vibrionales; Vibrionaceae.